AUUGAACGCUAGCGGCAUGCCUAACACAUGCAAGUCGAACGGUAACAGGCCUUCGGGCGCUGACGAGUGGCGGACGGGUGAGUAACGCGUGGGAAUCUGCCUAGUAGUGGGGGACAACCUGGGGAAACUCAGGCUAAUACCGCAUACGCCCUACGGGGGAAAGCAGGGGAUCUUCGGACCUUGCGCUAUUAGAUGAGCCUGCGUCGGAUUAGCUUGUUGGUGGGGUAAAGGCCUACCAAGGCGACGAUCCGUAGCUGGGUUUGAGAGGACGAUCAGCCACACUGGGACUGAGACACGGCCCAGACUCCUACGGGAGGCAGCAGUGGGGAAUAUUGGACAAUGGGGGCAACCCUGAUCCAGCAAUGCCGCGUGUGUGAAGAAGGCCUGCGGGUUGUAAAGCACUUUCGGAUGGGAAGAAAAGCUCAAGGCUAAUAUCCUUGAGUCUUGACGUUACUAUCAGAAGAAGCACCGGCUAACUCUGUG
Molecule: ribosomal RNA, 483 nt
Filed under: uncultured bacterium
Lineage: Bacteria
Description: bacterial SSU rRNA
Rfam family: Bacterial small subunit ribosomal RNA
Source: RNAcentral